ACUACGGGUGGCAGCAGUGGGGAAUAUUGGGCAAUGGGCGCAAGCCUGACCCAGCAACGCCGCGUGAAGGAAGAAGGCUUUCGGGUUGUAAACUUCUUUUCUGAGGGACGAAGAAAGUGACGGUACCUCAGGAAUAAGCCACGGCUAACUACGUGCCAGCAGCCGCGGUAAUAGGUAGGUGGCAAGCUUUAUCCGGAUUUUUUGGGUGUAAAGGGCGUGUAGGCGGGAAAGUAAGUCAGAUGUGAAAACUCAGGGCUCAACCCUGAGCCUGCAUUUGAAACUGUUUUUCUUGAGUGCUGGAGAGGCAAUUGGAAUUCCGUGUGUAGCGGUGAAAUGCGUAGAUAUACGGAGGAACACCAGUGGCGAAGGCGGAUUGCUGGACAGUAACUGACGCUGAGGCGCGAAAGCGUGGGGAGCAAACAGGAUUAGAUACCCCAGUAGUC
RNAcentral lists this ribosomal RNA (443 nucleotides) under uncultured bacterium. RNAcentral describes it as "partial 16S ribosomal RNA". It matches the Rfam family "Bacterial small subunit ribosomal RNA", at positions 338 to 795 of the family's 1533-position model. The record is from RNAcentral.